CGUAGGUGGCAAGCGUUGUCCGGAAUUAUUGGGCGUAAAGCGCGCGCAGGCGGCUUCUUAAGUCCAUCUUAAAAGUGCGGGGCUUAACCCCGUGAUGGGAUGGAAACUGAGAGGCUGGAGUAUCGGAGAGGAAAGUGGAAUUCCUAGUGUAGCGGUGAAAUGCGUAGAGAUUAGGAAGAACACCGGUGGCGAAGGCGACUUUCUGGACGACAACUGACGCUAAGGCGCGAAAGCGUGGGGAGCAA
This 245-nucleotide ribosomal RNA is filed under the name uncultured bacterium. RNAcentral's name for it is "partial 16S ribosomal RNA". It matches the Rfam family "Bacterial small subunit ribosomal RNA", at positions 526 to 771 of the family's 1533-position model. The record is from RNAcentral.